Molecule: long non-coding RNA, 391 nt
Organism: Halichondria panicea
Lineage: Eukaryota; Metazoa; Porifera; Demospongiae; Suberitida; Halichondriidae
Exons: 3
Source: RefSeq, a predicted model, not a curated record
AUGAGGGGCUUGGGAUCGAGGCUAACUGUUUCUCAGCAAACAGUUUGUUCUAACGACGACCUUUCCCUAAUAAAUAAUAUAUGCAGUUAGUUUCACGGGCGAUCUUUACCGACUUACUAUUCUGUCUUGAUAUAAUUAUGGCUAGAGGAAAAGCCAGGGUGAUUGUGACCAGACUGGUGAGUGCAGCUGGAACUGGAUUCUUCUACACCAUCAAGAAACCAAGAAUCAAGGAUCGCAUGACGUUACGGAAAUACGACCCUGUUGUUCGACAACAUGUGUUAUUUGUCGAGCAAAAGAAAAAAUGACAGUCAAAUUAAUUAUUAUUGUAAACUUAUUAUUUAUGUCUUGAUUCAUCCCAUCCUUUCACUCAAAUUUAUUAACGUGAAAUGAA